GGUGACUGUAAAUGCAAAAAGAAAUUCCUCCCCAAACCCGAUUAACUGCUCUCAGUGGAGAAAGAAAUCACAACCUUGGCACCCAGAUAACCUAUAAGUAAAGUUGUGAUCAACUUACCAUGAAAAAUUGACAAAAUUUUAGCACACAUGUCAGAAGAAGAAAAAUUAAAAGGCUAUCAACUUGAAAGUUGAUGCAUCUUUAAUGGGACUUCAGGAGUCAUCAAUCAAAGAGUGCAACUCCCCACGGAAACUAGAAAUUUUGUCUGCCUCAACAGCCAUGACUAACCCCAUUAACCUGUAG
This 301-nucleotide unclassified non-coding RNA is filed under the name Hevea brasiliensis (rubber tree). The record is from RNAcentral. Lineage: Eukaryota; Viridiplantae; Streptophyta; Magnoliopsida; Malpighiales; Euphorbiaceae.